CUGGAAUUGAUUCAUGGUGCAAAGCUAGGCUCAAGGGCACUGGGAUAAGGUGAACUGUUUCUCCUCUGCUAUGCCUCUCUGCCAUGUGGCACCCUGCCUUGGGGUCAGCUAACUAUGGACUGAGACAUCUACGAACUGAGAGAGGGAGAGAGAGAGAUUGAUUUGGAAAAGAGGAAAGGAAAAACAAGGUCCUGCCAAUCAAAAAUUUUUUCCAGUCAAAAAAUGAUGAGUUCCAGCCCUGGGUUUGACAACGGAUCCACUAAAACAUCACAGCCCCUACCUCCCGUGAGCCUUUGGCUGCGGCCUCCCACAGUGCUCUCUGGUUGGCGUGUGCUUCAAAUGUCCCGAACAGCUUCUUCAGUCCUUUCCCCACGACUCUUCCCAGAAUUCCUUCCUCUCAACUUCAGACAGAAAUACAUGAUAUGAGAUGGGCAUUCCUUUCGUUUAUCAAAACUAUCUGAUCUGUACCCACUUACUCUAUUUCCUACUUUAUAACAGAAACAGAGACCUUCCUCCUUUAAAUCAAUGCCUUUAGGUGUCC
Molecule: long non-coding RNA, 541 nt
Filed under: Heterocephalus glaber (naked mole-rat)
Lineage: Eukaryota; Metazoa; Chordata; Mammalia; Rodentia; Bathyergidae
Description: lncRNA (ENSHGLG00000049619.1)
Source: RNAcentral